Long non-coding RNA from Odocoileus virginianus texanus, 845 nucleotides. RefSeq lists it as uncharacterized. The record is from RefSeq and is a predicted model, not a curated record. Lineage: Eukaryota; Metazoa; Chordata; Mammalia; Artiodactyla; Cervidae.
CAACAUUACAUAGCUUUUUAUAAAUUCAGCUGAAUAUCAGAAGCUUUAUGCAGAACUGCCUUGGAGUAGGCCAGCAUCUAAAAGUUUUCCCUGCAAAAACUGAAUCUCAUCUGAACAUUUACUCACUUAAAAAAAAAAUCUUUAUUAUCAUCCUGAAGAAACUCUUACAGCCUUUGAAUUUGAAAAUAAUGACAAAGUGAAGACUCUAAAGGGACAAUGAAAAGAAUGCAUCAGUCUUGCUCAGUUCAAGGUUUCUACCGUCUGUGGAACAUGGAAUCAAACCAGAAUAUGUUGGCACAACAGGCCAGUCAGACCGGUUCUUCUGUAGAUCCAGAACCCGUCCAACCAGUCUCCAUCAAAGGCUAGCCCAACAAGCUGCAGCCCAACAAGCUCAGCUCUGCUAAGCUUGUACAGAUCCAAAUGUCAGCUAGAGUAUCCCAGGAUCUGAGAUUUAGAUAUUGUUGGCGUUAACCACAUUCCGCACCAGUGGAGACUCUGGAGGCCUCCUAUGUGACUUCUACAGAUUUCUGAGUGAGGGGCAGUGAGAUAAGGGGCUGGGGAAUGUCAGACUGAUGCUCUCCUGGUCACCCCUGGCUCUGGGCCCCUGUUUCCACAUGUCAUAGACUCGUUGAAGACUGGGGGGUGGCUUACAUCACAGCAAUAUCAUCAGUACUGUUUGCCAAGAAUACCUACCCUGAACCACUCCUGAAGAAAUUUCCUUUGGCCCUUCACUCACCAUAGUCCUUCCACUUCAAACUUCCCCUGCUGAAUUCUUUCUCCAUCUCUUUUCAGGAGGGAGUAAUUUUUUUCUGAUGUCAGGCUGAGUAGCUUUACUAUUUCCUUUG